This is a long non-coding RNA of Physella acuta, 788 nucleotides long. RefSeq lists it as uncharacterized. The record is from RefSeq and is a predicted model, not a curated record. NCBI's taxonomy places the organism in Eukaryota, Metazoa, Mollusca, Gastropoda, Physidae.
CACCUGAUCUACGCAUGACACAGUGCGCAUCUUUGUUUUAACCUCAAGAGGAUUUAGAUUCCAAGCCUAUUUUAAUUUUUGGAUCUCGUUUAUUAUCUUACAGAGGAGCAAUGUGCUGAAAUAUAAGACUUGUGUGCCUACAACUUGGUGUAAAGGGGAUCGCUAAUGCAAUCAUAAACUUGAUGGCUGACAUAAAGCGGCUGAGGAGAACAGAGGCUUGUGAGUGGAAUAGGUUGGUGGAACUUGUGUACAGCCCUUUCUAUGUUCAACAAAUGUCUCAGGUGGAAGUACAUUCAGUACAUUUUCCAUGGAGAUCCAGCUUUAUUCAAGGCUCAUCUUAAAGAGAAUGAUGUGGCUGCUGGGACAUAACUUAAGUCUACAUUCAACUGCUUGCAGAUCUCAAGAAGCCUGGGGUUCUCGUGCAGCGCCGCAAGCACUCAGGCUGAUUAAGAAGUUAAUUUCUGGCCCUUUGAUAAAGAUCAUUUACAAGAAUGCAAUGUGGCAAUCAAAUGUAGAUCUACUCUGUUUCUUAAAGUCAUGGAAGCGUUGUUGACAGUUGACUUCUACUGAGCCUUUCUUGGUGCGACAGCUGGAGAGGUAUCUGACGGGAAAUCUGAUUGGUGUCCAGCUGACUCAUAAGUGGAAGCAAGGUGAUCAGGGUGUGUCGCAAUACAGUGGAAGGACUAUCAAAAGGGUGCCAGAAACAAAACAAAAGUCAGCUCUUUACACCAUAAGCUACUGGGCAGAGGAUGAGGAUAAUUCUGAGGAUUUCAGUUAUCUGGCAGAAU